RNAcentral lists this ribosomal RNA (246 nucleotides) under uncultured bacterium. RNAcentral describes it as "partial 16S ribosomal RNA". It matches the Rfam family "Bacterial small subunit ribosomal RNA", at positions 524 to 769 of the family's 1533-position model. The record is from RNAcentral.
UACGUAGGGUGCAAGCGUUAAUCGGAAUUACUGGGCGUAAAGCGUGCGCAGGCGGUUUUGUAAGUCUGUCGUGAAAUCCCCGGGCUCAACCUGGGAAUUGCGAUGGAGACUGCAAGGCUAGAAUCUGGCAGAGGGGGUAGAAUUCCACGUGUGAGCAGUGAAAUGCGUAGAGAUGUGGAGGAACACCGAUGGCGAAGGCAGCCCCUGGGUCAAGAUUGACGCUCAUGCACGAAAGGCGUGGGGAGC